ACGGGAGGCAGCAGUGGGGGAUAUUGCACAAUGGGCGCAAGCCUGAUGCAGCGACGCCGCGUGUGGGAAGACGGUCUUCGGAUUGUAAACCACUGUCUUCGGGGACGAUAAUGACGGUACCCGAGGAGGAAGCUCCGGCUAACUACGUGCCAGCAGCCGCGGUAAUACGUAGGGAGCAAGCGUUGUCCGGAAUUACUGGGUGUAAAGGGAGCGUAGGCGGGAGGCCAAGUUGAAUGUUAAAUCUAUCGGCUCAACUGAUAGCUGCGUUCAAAACUGGUCUUCUUGAGUGAAGUAGAGGUUGGCGGAAUUCCUAGUGUAGCGGUGAAAUGCGUAGAUAUUAGGAGGAACACCAGUGGCGAAGGCGGCCAACUGGGCUUUUACUGACGCUGAGGCUCGAAAGCGUGGGGAGCAAACAGGAUUAGAUACCCUGGUA
Molecule: ribosomal RNA, 433 nt
Filed under: uncultured Oscillospiraceae bacterium
Lineage: Bacteria; Bacillati; Bacillota; Clostridia; Eubacteriales; Oscillospiraceae
Also listed under: 1 other name
Description: bacterial SSU rRNA
Rfam family: Bacterial small subunit ribosomal RNA
Source: RNAcentral